This 477-nucleotide ribosomal RNA is filed under the name uncultured bacterium. RNAcentral describes it as "partial 16S ribosomal RNA". It matches the Rfam family "Bacterial small subunit ribosomal RNA", at positions 28 to 507 of the family's 1533-position model. The record is from RNAcentral.
GAUUAACGCUGGCGGCGUGCAUAACACAUGCAAGUCGAACGAUGAAACUUAAAUGAUUUCUUCGGAAUGAACUUAAGUGGAUUAGUGGCGGACGGGUGAGUAACGCGCGAGUAACCUGCCUUACACAAGGGGAUAGCCGUUGGAAACGACGAAUAAUACCCUUUGAUGUUUCUAUCUCGCAUGAGAUAUUAACCAAAGUGUUAGCGGUGUAAGAUGGACUUGCGUCUGAUUAGCUAGUUGGUGAGAAAAAAGCCCACCAAGGCGACGAUCAGUAGCCGGCGUGAGAGGGUCAACGUGCGCAUUGGGACUGAGACACGGCCCAGACUGCUACGGGAGGCAGGAGUGGGGAAUUUUGCACAAUGGGGGAAACCCUGAUGCAGCGACGCCGGGUGAUUUAGAAGGCCUUCGAGUUGUAAAAAUCUUUUGUAUAGGAAGAAAAUGACGGUACUAUACGAAGAAGGACCGGCUAAUUACGUG